UCAGUCCUCCAGAGACCAGCGUGGAGCCUCUCAUCAUUUUUAUCUUGGAUGUGGGCUGGGAGCCAGAUUUCACGAUGUUAAGCUCCUCUUCUGUCAGUCACCCCGGUGCCCUAAAACUGUCCUAAAUGACUUAAUCUACAGGGCGACAGUCCUCCAGAGAGGCUGACCCUCCCACCGCGACCUUCUGUGACUUAAGAGUCUGUAUAAACGAACUGGCUCAUGAGGCACAAUCAGACAGAGAGAGAUGCGGCGAGACAAGGCUGAGGUAUGAGGUUCGUGUGACACCGGUGGGUUUGUCUGUUUUGCAGCCUUGAUGUUUCACUAUGUGGGAACAAGAGACAGGAUGAGUGACAUUUUGUCCCAAAAUAAAUAAAAAAACAU
Long non-coding RNA from Lates calcarifer (barramundi perch), 381 nucleotides. RefSeq lists it as uncharacterized. NCBI's taxonomy places the organism in Eukaryota, Metazoa, Chordata, Actinopteri, Centropomidae. The transcript has 3 exons. The record is from RefSeq and is a predicted model, not a curated record.